Molecule: ribosomal RNA, 322 nt
Filed under: uncultured eukaryote
Lineage: Eukaryota
Description: partial 18S ribosomal RNA
Rfam family: Eukaryotic small subunit ribosomal RNA
Source: RNAcentral
CCCUUAGAUGUUCUGGGCCGCACGCGUGCUACACUGAGUAGAUCAGCGGGUCAGGUUGCGCGAAAGUGUUUCCUAAUCUUGAAAUCCGCUCGUGAUGGGGAUUGACGGUUGCAAUUUUCCGUCAUGAACGAGGAAUACCUUGUAAGCGCGGGUCAUCAUCCCGCGCUGAAUACGUCCCUGCCCUUUGUACACACCGCCCGUCGCUCCUACCGAUUGAGUGGUCCGGUGAGGCUUUGGGACCUGAGCGGAAAGAGCGUUUCGCUGUUUCUGCUCGGAAAACUCAGUCGAACCUUAUCAUUUAGAGGAAGGAGAAGUCGUAACA